AGGUCCGGCAUAAUCUCGGGAAACUGAGGAUAAUUCCGGAUAGCUCUUUUUGGCUGGAAUUGCAUUAAGAGUCAAAGUUCUUCGCCUAAGGAUGGGUCUGCGGCCUAUCAGGUAGUAGAGGGUGUAACGCACCUUCCAGCCGACAACGGGUACGGGUUGUGAGAGCAAGAGCCCGGAGAUGGAUUCUGAGACAUGAAUCCAGGCCCUACGGGGCGCAGCAGGCGCGAAAACUUUACAAUGCAGGAAACUGUGAUAAGGAAACACCGAGUGCCCGCAUCUAAUGCGGGCUGUCCAUAUACUCAAAAAGUAUGUGUUAGCAAGGGCCGGGCAAUACCGGUGCCAGCCGCCGCGGUAAUACCGGUGGCCCGAGUGGUAGCCGCUUUUAUUUGGUCUAAAGGGUCCGUAGCCGGUCCGGUCAGUCCAUUGGUAAAUCCGCGCGCCCAACGCGCGGUCUUCAGUGGAUACUUCCGGACUUGGGACCGGGAGAGGCAAGAGGUACUAUAGGGGUAGGAGUGAAAUCUUGUAAUCCUUAUGGGACCACCUGUGGCGAAGGCGUCUUACCAGAACGGGUCCGACGGUGAGGGACGAAAGCUGGGGGCACGAACCGGAUUAGAUACCCGGGUAGUCCCAGCCGUAAACUAUGCCCGCUGGGUGUCAGGCAUGGCGUGACUGUGUCUGGUGCCGUAGAGAAGUCGUGAAGCGGGCCACCUGGGAAGUACGGCCGCAAGACUGAAACUUAAAGGAAUUGGCGGGGGAGCACCACAACGCGU
This 770-nucleotide ribosomal RNA is filed under the name uncultured archaeon. Its description in RNAcentral is "bacterial SSU rRNA". It matches the Rfam family "Archaeal small subunit ribosomal RNA", at positions 117 to 889 of the family's 1478-position model. The record is from RNAcentral.